This 179-nucleotide non-coding RNA is filed under the name Streptomyces sp. The record is from RNAcentral. RNAcentral also lists the same sequence under 1 other name. Lineage: Bacteria; Bacillati; Actinomycetota; Actinomycetes; Kitasatosporales; Streptomycetaceae.
UGUUCGUGAUAAGCCCGCGGUGCAGGGAAGCCGGUGUGAAUCCGGCGCGGUCCCGCCACUGUGACCGGGAAGUGCGUUCUCCAGCAGUACAGGCCACUGACGGAAUCCAUCCGUCGGGAAGGCCGGAGAGCGUGCGUUGAUCCGGGAGUCAGGAUACCGGCCGUGGGGUGUUCCGUGUU